GGGCGAUUAACUCAGCGGUAGAGUGUCUGCCUUACAAGCAGAAGGCCGGGGGUUCAAAUCCCUCAUCGCCCA
RNAcentral lists this transfer RNA (72 nucleotides) under Alkalinema pantanalense CENA528. RNAcentral's name for it is "tRNA-Val". It matches the Rfam family "tRNA". From Rfam's summary of the family: Transfer RNA (tRNA) molecules are approximately 80 nucleotides in length. RNAcentral also lists the same sequence under 3 other names. The record is from RNAcentral. Lineage: Bacteria; Bacillati; Cyanobacteriota; Cyanophyceae; Leptolyngbyales; Leptolyngbyaceae.